This 5159-nucleotide long non-coding RNA is filed under the name Theobroma cacao (cacao). RNAcentral describes it as "long non-coding RNA (TCAC_LNC002728)". The record is from RNAcentral. Lineage: Eukaryota; Viridiplantae; Streptophyta; Magnoliopsida; Malvales; Malvaceae.
AUCAAAGCAAUGGCAGAAGUGAAGCUACACGGAUUCUGGGCCAGUCCUUUUAGUCAUAGAGUGAUUUGGGCAUUGAAAAUCAAAGGUGUAGAAUAUGAAUACAUAGAGGAAGACCUUUCUAACAAGAGUGAACUGCUGUUGAAGUACAAUCCUGUUUACAAGAAGAUCCCUGUCCUUGUCCAUGGCGGCAAGCCGAUUGCUGAGUCCCUCGUCAUCCUUGAAUACAUCGAAGAAACCUGGCCGGAGAAUCCAUUGCUCCCAAGUGAUCCUUAUGAGAGAGCCAUGGCUCGAUUUUGGAUUCAAUUCGGAGUAGACAAGGUGAUUUUCAUUCUUUCACUAUCUCCAUUGAGGCGUUGACCUAUCAUUCUUUUCUUUAAUGUUCUUGUUAACAAUUAUCAAACUUUACAAUGAUCGUAGGGUCCGGUUUUCCGUGCAUUUUUUCUAUCAACCGGUGGAGAGGAGCAAGAGAAAGCAGCAAAGGAAUUCUCGGAAAUGCUGAAAAUUAUAGAAGAGAAAGCUCUUGGGGACAAGAAGUUUUUUGGUGGUGAUACCAUUAAUUUAGUGGACAUCUCCUAUGCAACGCUGGCCUAUUGGUUCAAGAAUGUGGAAGAAGUAAUUGGCGUUAAGGUUCUGGAACCAAACACCUUACCCCGUCUGUAUCAAUGGGCUCAAAAUUUCAAGGAAGUUCCUGUCAUCAAAGAAAACAUUCCUGAUAAUGAUAAAAUGUUGGCCUAUACAAGACUAAUCAGGGAGAAGAUUCUUGCUGCACAGCUCAACAAAUAGCAUAAAAAAGCGUCUUACUGGCUACCCUUUCUGGAAAAUUGAUUUUACUAUGCUUGGCAGCUUGUAAUGGUUAUCAUAAGCUUAUAUAUGUGUGUGUAAUCUGCUUUGUUAUGUUCUAUUGUAUUAAUUAAGAAUCAAAUAAUAGAAUUCUAGCGUAAAAAAGCAGAACAACUUUUGGUUUUGUGCUUCUAAGGGUCGGAUCUUUGUGUUUUGAUGUCUGACCUUUGUUCAGGUUUUCUUUGGCAGAAAGGGCCUGAUCUGAGAUUUUUCUGUGCUCUGUGUCAUUUGCUUUUGAGUUAGGACAGUGCUUAUUGGUUUUUUUUUUUUUAAAGGCGGUUUUAUUCUUGCAUCACUGUUUAUGCCACAACAAGUCUAAAGCAUGGUUGCGGAAGACUUUAGUGGCAUAGAGCGUCUGAUGUGGGUAAAAGUGCUGUACAAUUUCAAAAGACGCCUAUGUUCCAUAGCGCCACUGCUAAACAUAAUCCUAACCAGCAGCAGGAACGCAUACACAGGCCAUCACUAACCUCAAAUCAUUCAAAAACCACAGAACACAGAUCGGGCGAAGCAAACUUCUAGCGCGAAGAAGGUGUCCGCAAUGGGCAUCGUGGACGCAGCAAACCAGGAGCCUUCAAAGAGCCUCAACAUCAGCAUCGUCAGGAAUUCAGCACGGCAUCAGCAGCAUUUGAAGUGAUUGACAAAAAUGUGGAUCCUUAGCAUAGGCCUCCUGUCAAUCCACAACCUCAAAACAUCCCACAAACCACCCCCUGGGAGAAACACCUGAACCCACCUUCACACUCACCGUCCCCUUCCAAUUCACUCAACCUGCUUGACACAAUACACAACACCAAUCGCUCAAAAGUUCAUGACAGUGCUUUAUUGGUUUGUUUUUUGAAAGGUGAAAUUUUAUUGAGCCAGCCUCCAACCUGCCACUUCAAGUCUUUAGUCUUAAUUGCUUAAAGACUCUUGAUGGCAUAAUAGUUGCCCUGGCUGGAUAAAACCUGUACACUUGUACCAAAAAGAAUCUGCCCAAAUAGAAACUGGCAGCACAGCACCAUGAACAAGAAGAGGUGCAAGAAAGGAAAAUCGUUCUAAUUCUACCUGAUUGGAAACAGCAAUACCCCCAACCCAACGAACAAGAAAAAAACUCCCACAGCGAGGAUCCCCUCAUGUGAAGUCAACCCUGCUCGCCCCACCAGAAGUUACACAGUAAAAGAAUCCUUUAGGAAACAUGGGAGAAGACCAUUCAAAAAUCUGAGUAAGGGACAAGACCUGGCAAUUCGCAGAACAGAACAGAACAAAAACCCUAGGGGAUCUCAUCAUCAACAAAAACCCUUCCUGGCGGCAAUAACCACAGUAUCUUAGACGAGCCAGCCCAGACAGCUUCGGAUUCAUCACAGGCUCAGCGCAAGAGCUUCCGGAACACAUCCCCACUCCCCGCCAUACCAACACAUCCUUUCACAUAAGAAACACGAGCAUCCAGCCGAACAGAGAAGUCAGAAGCAGCACCAAAAAGGAUCCCAAAACACCUGAACCCCCUAUCCCUGAGAUUCCUUCAAAUAACAUAGGAGGAGCCCAAACAGGGAGCCAUGAACUCACAGAAAAAGCCACCAUAUCAAGCAAAGCCAAAAAACAAGAAACAUGACAAAAACAUUACACUCCCAGCAAAGAACUGGUUGGCAAAAACAGAAAGGAACAAAGAAUGACACACUCACAGGAAAGAAAUCAUUCAUUAGAAAGGACAUUUUUUUCUUUUCUCUUUAUUAUUGAUCACUUGUUAAGCUGCCUUGACUUUUUGAGCUGCUAAUCUAUCGCCAGUGCCACUGGUUUCCUUGUCCGAGCCGUUCUUUGCCAUGCCAUAGGGAGUUUUUAGUAGUUACAGCCUUAAAUUAACAAUAGCAUUGAUCGGCCGCUGAAACGAAUAAAUUAACCUUUCAAAGAAUAAAACUUUUGGUUUUGUGGAAGAAUUACUUGUAAAAGUUCAUGAUGAUCACCUCAUGAUUUAUUUUGGUUAUCCUAAGGUCAAGGCUUCAUGAAUUUUUAUAUCUUUGGAUUUGCUUUUUAAAAUUACUUGAUUUUGACUAUCAAGAUUUUAUAUUUCUCAUAUUGUAAAAAGUUAUUUCACAAAAAACACAUUACCAUUUGGAGAGAGCAAUGGUAGCAAAUAAAAUGAAUAAUGCAAUGGUAUCACGCAAACAAUAAUGAAAUGAAAGUAACUCAAAAUAAGUGAUAUUAUUCAUAAGUUACUUUUGUUAUUGGGAUGUUUUGCAAACUUAUUAGUGUAGAUUUGGAAAUAGUUAAAGAGAAUUUCCUCUCAACAUUUUUUUUUAAGUAUAAGUGCUUUACAAAAACAAAUGUAAUUGCACCAUUAAUUUUUUUUUUAAAAGUUGUAAUUACACCAUUAAUAAUCAUUUGUUACAAACGGUUACUAUUCUCAAUGGUUACCUAAUGAGAUUUUCGUAAUUAUUACCUAUUAUGUACAUAAAAAAUGGAAAUAGUUGAGAGGUAAUUGGAACGAAGUUUAUUAAAGCAAAUACCUUUAAUGAGGAAUUUCACUAAAAAAUCCGCAAUGAAAAACAAUGUCCCAUAUCACAACAGAGUACUCUGUAAAUUUCUUGAAGAAGAGAAGGGUCAUAUAUAAAUAUCACCUCAUCAGAAUCACUUGAAAGUAAAUUAGCUAGUAAUGCAAGUUUGUAUUACACAUUUACGUCGUGAGAAAGAACUACUUCUUCUCUCUUUAAUUUUCAUGUUGGUUUAUGCCUUUAAAUUAUUUAUCUGUUAUAGCUAUGGUUACAACAAUGCUAUGGUGGCUUGUUGUUUUAAAUUAUUCUGAAAUCAUUUUGAAAUUUUCAGCCUUCUGAAACAUUUCAAUUACAAAUGGGGCAUUCUUUAUGAUUGCAUCUUCUAUCUCACUUCCUACUUUGUAGACUAAAACUAGGGAGUGCCGGAAACGCUCCCCAUUUUUCCAAUUUCAGUUUGAGCAACGUUAUCCAAGAAAAGGGUUCUUCAAUCUUUGAAACUUGUUAUUUUAUUCAGUUUGAAAGGGGCAAACUGAUUCAUUUUUAUUUUUUAUUAAAAACAUGAUCACUUGUCAUGCGUGACGCAGGCCUAUUGUAUAUUGCAUGGAGCAAUCAUAUCCGUAACAUGGUAGUCAUUGGAUUAAGUAAUUUAUCUGAUCCAACCAUGUGACAGAUUGUAUGACUUUUACAAUAUGAAAUGCAAAAUUACCAGCUGAAAGAGUCUGAACUGAUGUCAGAAACAUUUAGAAAAGAGUAAGAGUUGCUUCCAUUGACAUUGAACUUCUUGCCCAAGCUAGAACAGCCCUUUGAUCUGUAUGAAUUGACAAUUAGAAAGUAAAAAUGAAAAUUAAAAAAAAUGGAAGUAAUUUUUAAAAUUAGAUUAAUGAUUUUUAUAUCACAGUAGAGAAUUAGUUUUAAAACAGCAAAAAUCAUAAAGAGACAAACAGGAACAUGAUGAACCUUCUUACCAGCAUGACACGGUGGCAUGCACAAUCAAAAGCGGGUUUGAUUGCCGAAUAUCAUUUGUUUAUGUCGAUAAUUAAAUAUUGAGAUUAAGGGGCAGUUCGUAUAAAAAUAAUUAAAUAAGGCAAUAGUCCAUUUGAACUUUAAAGGUAUAUUAUAAAAAGAAUAUUCUUUAUCUUCAAAGUCAAAUUAGUACUGCAUUAUCUAGUUCAUGUUUUCCUUACACUGUAAAUUAAUCAGAACCACCAACUCUUCAAAUUACGGCCUACAAUAUCACAUCAAAUUUCAACCUGACCUUGAUUUCGUCAAAUUCCUAGAUAUUUCCUCAUAGAAAACAUGUGGCCUCGGAGGUCUUCUAUUGGUAUGCAAAUGAAGGGUCACUUUCAUGGUUAUUAAUUUCUAAAUUGAAACUUAUUGUCCAAGCAUUUGAUCCAUUAUAUUGACUUUGGCCUGGCCACGACCUUUGCAUCUUGAGCUCAUCAAAGAAAUGGCAGAAGUGAAGCUACACGGAUUCUGGGCUAGUCCUUUUAGUCAUAGAGUGAUUUCGGCAUUGAAAAUCAAAGGUGUAGACUAUGAAUACAUAGAGGAAGACCUUUCUAACAAGAGCGAACUGCUGUUGAAGUACAAUCCUGUUUACAAGAAGAUCCCUGUCCUUGUCCAUGGCGGCAAGCCGAUUGCUGAGUCCCUCGUCAUCCUUGAAUACGUCGAAGAAACCUGGCCGGAGAAUCCAUUGCUCCCAAGUGAUCCUUAUGAGAGAGCCAUGGCUCGAUUUUGGAUUCAAUUCGUAGAAGACAAGGUGAUUUUGACUCUUUCAUUAUCUCCAUUGAGGCAUUGACCUAUCAUUCUUUUCUUUUAUGUUAUUGUUAACAAUUAUCAAACUUUACAAUGAUCCUAGAG